Molecule: unclassified non-coding RNA, 298 nt
Filed under: uncultured Tricholoma
Lineage: Eukaryota; Fungi; Basidiomycota; Agaricomycetes; Agaricales; Tricholomataceae
Description: sequence contains ITS2
Rfam family: 5.8S ribosomal RNA (bases 1-52)
Source: RNAcentral
AACGCACCUUGCGCUCCUUGGUAUUCCGAGGAGCAUGCCUGUUUGAGUGUCAUGAAAUUCUCAACCUUUUCAGCUUUCUUUGUUGAUCAGGCUUGGAUGUGGGGGGUAUGUGGGCUUCUCAGAAGUCGGCUCUCCUGAAAUGCAUUAGCGGGACCUUUGUUGCCUGGCUUUGGUGUGAUAAUUAUCUACGCCAUUGUGGCCAAGCAGCUUAAAAUGAGGUUUAAGCUUCUAACCGUCUCACUGAGACAACUUUUGACAAUUUGACCUCAAAUCAGGUAGGACUACCCGCUGAACUUAA